CAACGGUGUACCAGCGUUCCCAAAGUAUACAGCCAAACUGACUUCACACACAGCACAGGCGUGCAAUAAAGAGGCAUGCGUGAUUAAAGAGCAAUAAAACGGGCAAAUUAAAAAAAUCCAUGCUGGCAGGAUGUCGUCAGGCUGCUGCCCCAGCUCUGUGUGUCUGUGUGAGGAGUCAGUGAUAAGAUCCGGAGCAGUGCCGGAGGAGGAAACCAGCGACGACGAGGCGCCGACCAACAUGGAUAUCGCGCUUUUAAAAGAGCAGUAUAACUCAAUCAGGGAGAAACAGAAGCGGGAGACACGGGUGGUUUGCUUUAGAAAAGCUGCAUCAAACAAUGAGGAGAUCUCCGGCAAGGCUCUGGUCAAUGUGGUUCCCAUGCGACAGGCCAGGCGCUCUCUAAUGAGGCAGGCCUCUCUCCAGGACACUCACUUUGAUUUUGUCAGAGAUCAUGAAAGCUCCCCCUGGCGCACUCACCUGGGAAUGUACCGGAGGACCUGUGCAGCGGUUGAUCCCAAUCAACAUAAACACACCAAGGUCAAGACCAGCACCGGAGACUCAAUAUCAUCGACGUCUGUAGGCAAUGGGGAACACAGUGUCGAAAUCACAGAUUCAAGCGGCCAUUUAUCUGAGGAAUGUGAAGGGGUUGAUGAUGACAAAUGUCAAAAAGACUACAGCUCUGAGGAAACCAGGAAGUUUUCUGCACCUGAAAUUCUAACCAGGCGGCUAAGCAGCAGCAGCAGCUGCCGGUCCAAUCACUCCAUGACAAGUGCAUACCAUUACCCCUUCCCUCAACUCAAAAGUCCCAGGAAGUCUGAGGCUGCACGCAGACUCGGACUUUACUCUUCAUUCUAAUGAGACUCUACAAACUGCUACAAAAAAAGAGCGAUGUGCAAUACAUUUUUUUAAACCUAAAUCUUGAUCACACAGAUUGUAACGUUGUAUGUUAGUACACCAGGGGCUAGAUACAUGAAAAACUCCACAAAGAAAAAAAAAGAAGAAUCUUAAAAUAAGCACUUAUGAAGUAUCAAA
RNAcentral lists this long non-coding RNA (1030 nucleotides) under Astyanax mexicanus (Mexican tetra). RNAcentral's name for it is "lncRNA (ENSAMXG00005008777.1)". The record is from RNAcentral. Lineage: Eukaryota; Metazoa; Chordata; Actinopteri; Characiformes; Acestrorhamphidae.